CCCUAACUGCCGGGGCCCCUUAGUUUUUUAACUAACCUUACCCAAUGAGCGUUAUGCCACUGUAUAUAACUACCUGAAAAAUAUACAAGCAGGGCUUCGACGUUUCGAGCGAAGACCCUAACUUUCCGACGAAGGGACUCGUUUGAAGGUAGUUGUAUGAAGGUAGUUGUAUGUCUACCCUUUUGAAGGUAGUUGUAUGUCUCAUUUCACAGCUCCAGCAGAGGCCGCGGAAGCAUUUCGAAAGUGGAGGGGCAUUGACCGAAAGGGGCACUUUUGUAUAUGACCAAAAUCAAACGAUUUUAUGACGUUCACGAGCCGAACGAAAAUUUUUGAAAAUAUGGAGUCUCUCUAACGUCGGAAAUGGCCUUUACAGAGUCUUUACUACUGCGCAAAGGGCAUUUUCUUUCCAGAAAAAGAGGGCGUUUAUUCAAGAAAUACUUUUUUCGUUUUUUAAAUGGGGCAUUUUAGCCCAGAAAAAAGGGCACUUUUUUCACUUUUAAGAAAAGUGGGGGGGCAUAUGCCCCCAUUGCCCCCCCGGUUCCGCGGCCCCUGAGCUCCAGUGACACUUAGGGACGGACCAUUAGAAAAGUGAUGGGGGGGGGGUUGGGAGUUGGGGAAACAGCAAAAAUAAAAAUCGACAGAAAAAAAAACAGAAAGAAAAAAAAAUUCGUCCAGAGACUUUUCAAUAGGGAAAAUUAUAAGUUGAAAUAAAAAAAUUCGAGCAAGGGAUUAUAUUUUAAAAAUUUAUCGAGACAUGCAAGCAAAAAAUUUUGAAAAAAUAUUCGCACAAGUUGAAAAGUCCCCCCCCCCCAUCACGUUUCUAAUGGUCCGUCCCUUACAGACUUCUAGAAUCUUAGAACUGACAGACCUGUAUACGUAUUUCGUCCUUAAUUAAUUAAUAACACUUGACCAACUAAUCGUUCGAACUUAGCUAACACAGCCAUUCAGGAUAGAUAAAGUUAGUUCAGCACAGCCUUGUCCACAACGUGCUUAAAGCGUUGACAUACACCUUUAACCUGUUUGAAAAUAGUUGCUUUGACUUUGUGCAAAACAAUACAUUUAAAAAAAUAAUCGCUAUUAAGAAAGAUUCCGGGAUACAAGUGAAUCCAUCUUUUUUAUGUCACUAUAUAUAAUCGCCCAAAACAACAGCCCGCCAACAGGCCCAAAGUCGUGCAUAUCCUGUAGAAAAACUCAAAGUUUUAAGUGGGAUUAUCCUAUUAAAACAUACUCGUGAGAUGAAUGAGGUCCCAGCCAAAACACUCGUGUAUAAUUCUGGCAUUUUCUAUCUUUCUGCCAUAGUUUGCUGACAGAGAACCGAGCGAAGAGAUACUAAACUAAACAUGAAACGUCUUAAAGAUAUUCUACUAGUUCUAUUUCGGAUAAAGAUGGUAAUUUUGUUCAUUCAAGGGACGAAAGGCGGGGAAUUGAGUAAUGGUAAGUUACUAUGUACGAUGACGCAGAUUAUAAUCACAAUAUGAUAAUCACGCAUGAUAAGUCACUCCUAAUCUGCGUGUAUUGUGUUAAUGACGUAUAGCAACG
Paramuricea clavata is the source of this 1539-nucleotide non-coding RNA. NCBI's taxonomy places the organism in Eukaryota, Metazoa, Cnidaria, Anthozoa, Malacalcyonacea, Plexauridae. The record is from the annotation of a GenBank genome assembly.